AAUAGAUACCCCGGGUAGUCCACGCCCGUAAACGUUGGGCGCUAAGGUGUGGGGUUCUUUCCACGGAUUUCCGGCGCCGUAGCUAACGCAUUAAAGCGCCCCGCCUGGGGAGUACGGGCCGCAAGGCUAAAAACUCAAAGGAAAUUGAACGGGGGCCCGCACGAACGCGGCGGAGCAUGUUGCUUAAUUUCGACGCAACGCGAAGAACCUUAACCAAGGCUUGACAUCGCCGGAAAUCCCGCAGAGAUGCGGGGUCCUUUUUGGGCCGGUGACAGGUGGUGCAUGGCUGUCGUCAGCUCGUGUCGUGAGAUGUUGGGUUAAGUCCCGCUAACGAGCGCAACCCUUCGGUUUCCACUGUUGCCAGCACCUUUCGGGUUGGGGACUUCGAUGGGGACGACCCGACCGGGGGUCAACGUCGGAGGGAAAGGUGGGGAUGACGGUCAAGUCAUCAGUGCCCUUAUGUCUUGGGCUGCGAAACUAUGCUACAAUGGACCGGUACAGAGGGUCUGGCGAUACCGGUGAGGUGGAGCGAACUCCGUUAAAGCCGGUCUCAGUUACGGACUACGAACGUCGUCGCUAACGUCGUACGUUUCG
This 594-nucleotide ribosomal RNA is filed under the name uncultured bacterium. RNAcentral describes it as "bacterial SSU rRNA". It matches the Rfam family "Bacterial small subunit ribosomal RNA", at positions 777 to 1352 of the family's 1533-position model. The record is from RNAcentral.